RNAcentral lists this ribosomal RNA (1285 nucleotides) under uncultured bacterium. Its description in RNAcentral is "partial 16S ribosomal RNA". It matches the Rfam family "Bacterial small subunit ribosomal RNA", at positions 94 to 1399 of the family's 1533-position model. The record is from RNAcentral.
AGUGGCGGACGGGUGAGUAAUGUGUAGAGAAUCUGCCCUUGAGCGGGGGACAACAGCUGGAAACGGUUGCUAAUACCCCAUAUGAUGCCGGUUGUGAUACUGGUAUUGAAAACUCCGGUGCUCAAGGAUGAGUCUGCAUCUGAUUAGCUAGUUGGGGGUGUAAUGGACCACCAAGGCGACGAUCAGUAGCUGGUUUGAGAGGAUGAUCAGCCACAAUGGGACUGAGACACGGCCCAUACUCCUACGGGAGGCAGCAGUAGGGAAUUUUGCGCAAUGGGGGCAACCCUGACGCAGCAACGCCGCGUGAUUGAUUAAGCCCUUCGGGGUGUAAAGAUCUGUCAGUGGGGACGAAAUAUGACGGUACCCACAGAGGAAGCACCGGCUAACUCCGUGCCAGCAGCCGCGGUAAUACGGAGGGUGCAAGCGUUGUCCGGAAUCAUUGGGCGUAAAGAGUUCGUAGGUGGCAUGUAAAGUCUGGUGUUAAAGGCAGAAGCUCAACUUCUGUAGGGCACUGGAUACUUGCAAGCUGGAAUGCGGUAGAGGUAAAGGGAAUUCCUGGUGUAGCGGUGAAAUGCGUAGAUAUCAGGAGGAACAUCGGUGGCGUAAGCGCUUUACUGGGCCGUAAUUGACACUGAGGAACGAAAGCCGGGGUAGCAAAUGGGAUUAGAUACCCCAGUAGUCCCGGCCGUAAACGAUGGAUACUAGGUGUUGCGGGUAUCGACCCCUGCAGUGCCGCAGCUAACGCGUUAAGUAUCCCACCUGGGGAGUACGUUCGCAAGAAUGAAACUCAAAGGAAUUGACGGGGACCCGCACAAGCGGUGGAGCAUGUGGUUUAAUUCGAAGCAACGCGAAGAACCUUACCAAGUCUUGACAUCCGCCUGACCGAUCCUUAACCGGAUCUUUCCUUCGGGACAGGCGAGACAGGUGGUGCAUGGUUGUCGUCAGCUCGUGUCGUGAGAUGUUGGGUUAAGUCCCGCAACGAGCGCAACCCCUAUCCUCAGUAGCCAGCAUUUAAGGUGGGCACUCUGGGGAGACUGCCAGGGAUAACCUGGAGGAAGGCGGGGAUGACGUCAAAUCAUCAUGCCCCUUAUGAUUUGGGCUACACACGUGCUACAAUGGCGUAAACAAAGGGAAGCGAGAUUGUGAGGGGGAGCAAAUCCCAAAAAUAACGUCCCAGUUCGGAUUGUAGUCUGCAACUCGACUACAUGAAGCUGGAAUCGCUAGUAAUCGCGAAUCAGAAUGUCGCGGUGAAUACGUUCCCGGGUCUUGUACUCACCGCCCGUCA